AUGGAGAUUUUUGGGCAUGUCAGAAAAGUUGAUUGUUAUCCAAAUAUCUUCAUUGCUUAUCGCAUCUUAUUUACUGUGUCUGUGACUGUCGUAUCGGCUGAAAGAAAAUUUUCAAAGCUGGAAUUGUUGAAGAAUUAUUUAAGGUCAACAAUGACUCGAGAGAGGUUAAAUGAUUUGGCUACAUUAUGCAUGGAGAAGAAAUUAUUGGAUGAGAUUGACAUCGACCCCAUCAUAAGUGACUUUGCAACGAGGAAUGUUAGAAGAAAAUUUUAA
Molecule: ribosomal RNA, 273 nt
Filed under: Triticum aestivum (bread wheat)
Lineage: Eukaryota; Viridiplantae; Streptophyta; Magnoliopsida; Poales; Poaceae
Description: partial small subunit ribosomal RNA
Source: RNAcentral